UUUAUACUAAGUCCACCUAAAAACUUUGGAGUUGCACACUAGUUAAAAAAUGGAAUCAUGGAUAUGGUGGUUCCUUCUGUGCUGGCAUUUGCUGAUCCUUUACUUUUCACCCUCUCAUUCCUUAUGCCACCCCCAUGACAGCUUUGCCUUGCUUCAGUUCAAGAACUCCUUCACUAUUAAGACUAGUUAUCACAAUUAUUAUUGUCAUCCUGGUUAUUCAAAGACCACAACAUGGGAAAAUGGGACAGAUUGUUGCUCUUGGCCUGGAGUCACCUGCCGCCAUAUCUCCGGUCACGUGACUGAGCUCGACCUCACCUGCAGUGGGCUUACCGGCAAAAUCCAUCCAAACAGUAUGCUUUUCCAUCUUUCUCAUCUUCAAUCACUCAACCUUGCUUUCAAUGAUUUCAAUCAACCUCAACUGUCAUCUCUCUUUGUUGGGUUUCUGAGCCUCACACAUCUCAACUUGUCUGGUUCUAACUUUGAAGGAGGAACACAAACAAAUUGUUGCAAACUGAAGGAGUGAAAUAGACCUUACAUGGUUGAAGUGAAUAACAUGGUUUGGUCCUGCACCUCCAAAGUUAUGGGGUUGAACUAAGAUUUCCUAUGAAUUUUUAGAAGAUCUGACCUUAGUCUCACUAAGCUUGCUGGUGGGAACUUUAACUUAUAUGGAGCAAGCUGAUUUCUUUUGGUUGAGGUCACUGAUUUUGUGAUAGCAAACAAGUUUUCCCAGUUAGAUCACUGUCACCAUCUUGGAACCAUAGCUGUAAAAUGUCUAGUUACCCAUAAACUAGUGCAGCUAUUGUUCCUGGUGGAGGCCAAGGGUGCAGAAUGUUAGGAACAUAAGCUGGAAGUGAAAGGUUACUACUUACUGGUAGAGCUACUCGUAUUUCUCAGGAGCACCUCCCUGACAAAUCUAGCCUCCAAGGUUGGAUGUCUUAUUUGCUAUUUAUUUCACCUCUAGGAUGCAGAUUAGUACCUUUCAUCUUUCCAACUUUUGUAAGCAAAGUAUAUCCAACCAAGGAUUAAAAGAUUUAAAAGUAUGUAUCUUUCUUUGCACUACCAUUAGUGACAUUAGUGAUAUGUACUGUUAUAAACACAUUGAAUAAUGAAUAUAGAUAGAGCACUUCAUCAAGGAUUUUAUAAAGAAAAUUUUGCAUAUGAUGGUUUAUACCCUUAUAUUUUUAAUAGAAUUUGUAUGUUUUCUUCUAAUGAAAUUAAAGUUCAUUAGGUCUGUAUUCGUUGUACUGGAUAAUCAUAAUGAUAUUUUCCAUCAAAGGAAAAGCGAGAGAAUCAAGAUGCCUGUCUAUGACUAAUUGAACUAAAGAACUCCAUGAAAGGGCAUCUUUUUUUUUCUAAAUACAGUGAAGGAAACUGAUGUUUGGACAACUUUAUAUGGAGUUUCUGUAAAAUUUAAGCUGUUUGGAAAAAGUUGGGCUAAUUGUUAUGCAGUAGCUUUAACCAGAAGACUGCGAAAAAAUAUUCAAGGAAUUUCAUUAUAUAAUUUUAGUGAACCAUGAGAAUGAUAAACCAUGAGAAAUGCUCCAAGGCAUCUUUUCAGUCUGGAGCUCUCGAGUUCUUACUGAAAUAUUAUACUUUUUACAUAUCUUGAGAAUGAUAAAGUUUUUGUUUUGUAACCUGGAGGUAGGGUUUGAAUCUUAGAAACAGUUUCUUUGCCUGUGGAGAUAAGAUUGUGUACACUUAUCCUUCCUACUUUUACGAUAAGGUUGUGUAUAUUUAUCUUCCCUAAGCUUCAAUCACUAUUCGAUAUUUUGAGCAUUUGACCCUAGUCUACAUUCUUUUGCGUUUGUUUAUCGGAAUAAAAAUAAUUUCUGUUGAUAACCUUUCUGUCAUUAGUAUGCUCCAAUCACGUUUAUCUGAAAUUGGCUAUACACCAGUUGGUAGGUAAUUGGUUGGUGGAGAUGGGAACGUUAGCAUGUACAUUAGACAGUCAAAUUUGGCAUUUUAGAAACAGAAUCUUUGAUGACAAAAAGGAAAGAAAGAGAGAAACAGCAUCUUUGAACAAUGAUGUUACUUAACUUUUUUUCUUAUCAUGAUGCUUGUGACCAUCUGGAAUAUGUGUUGGGCUUCAAUGGAAUAUAUUGGGUUGUUUAGGUUUACUUAUACAGGCAAUUGCUUCCUGCAUCUCCAAUAUUGCUUCCUACACCUUUCUAA
Molecule: RNA transcript, 2172 nt
Organism: Glycine soja
Lineage: Eukaryota; Viridiplantae; Streptophyta; Magnoliopsida; Fabales; Fabaceae
Gene name: receptor-like protein Cf-9
Exons: 3
Source: RefSeq, a predicted model, not a curated record